CAGCUGCAUUUGAAGUGUCCAUUAAACCUACAAAGCAGUCAAUACAAACUGAAAUCUAUUAGCAUACAAAUGUGUGCAAAUGAUCUUUUCAGACCUAAGAUAUGAAUAAAGUCCAUGGAAUGGAUAUAGACAAAAAGAGAAUUCAAGGACUAGCAGAGGUAGAGAGGCGAGGCAGGGGGAGGACAUCAUCCUGCUAUUUUGACAGUCCCUGAAGGACAAUACAGAAGAGGGAUUUGCUCUUAUUCCUUCCCUUUCUCUAAUGUAUUUUGUAAUAAAAUUAGCAAGUGUAGUAAGAUCAAUGCUUUACUAGGACUGGAGACCACAGCAGCGAUUCUGCUCUUGCCCUACCUCUUCAAAGAGGACCCGAGUGGCCUUUAUGUCCGUGACAUGAUUUCACCGCUCUUCACUCCUUUACUGCACAUCGGUGGAAAUCCAUUUCACCAUGAGAGUGAAAUCCCGCUGGCCUUUGAUGGGGAGAACAUCCACGCCCUCGAGGACGUCUCCAUGGGACUUGGGGCUCUGCUAGGGCUGUAUUU
Oncorhynchus gorbuscha (pink salmon) is the source of this 536-nucleotide long non-coding RNA. RefSeq lists it as uncharacterized. NCBI's taxonomy places the organism in Eukaryota, Metazoa, Chordata, Actinopteri, Salmoniformes, Salmonidae. The transcript is spliced from 2 exons. The record is from RefSeq and is a predicted model, not a curated record.